GUGGAUAACUUCGGGAAACCGGAGCUAAUACCGGAUAAUAUUUUGAACCGCAUGGUUCAAAAGUGAAAGACGGUCUUGCUGUCACUUAUAGAUGGAUCCGCGCUGCAUUAGCCAGUUGGUAAGGUAACGGCUUACCAAGGCAACGAUGCAUAGCCACCUGAGAGGGUGAUCGGCCACACUGGAACUGAGACACGGUCCAG
This 200-nucleotide ribosomal RNA is filed under the name uncultured Staphylococcus sp. Its description in RNAcentral is "partial 16S ribosomal RNA". It matches the Rfam family "Bacterial small subunit ribosomal RNA", at positions 139 to 334 of the family's 1533-position model. The record is from RNAcentral. Lineage: Bacteria; Bacillati; Bacillota; Bacilli; Caryophanales; Staphylococcaceae.